This 497-nucleotide ribosomal RNA is filed under the name uncultured bacterium. Its description in RNAcentral is "partial 16S ribosomal RNA". It matches the Rfam family "Bacterial small subunit ribosomal RNA", at positions 28 to 507 of the family's 1533-position model. The record is from RNAcentral.
GAUGAACGCUGGCGGCGUGCCUAAUACAUGCAAGUCGAGCGAACAGACGAGGAUCUUGCUCCUCUGACGUUAGCGGCGGACGGGGGAGUAACACGUAGAUAACCUACCUAUAAGACUGGGAUAACUUCGGGAAACCGGAGCUAAUACCGGAUAAUAUAUUGAACCGCAUGGUUCAAUAGUGAAAGACGGUUUUGCUGUCACUUAUAGAUGGAUCCGCGCCGCAUUAGCUAGUUGGUAAGGUAACGGUUUACCAAGGCAACGAUGCGUAGCCGACCUGAGAGGGUGAUCGGCCACACUGGAACUGAGACACGGUCCAGACUCCUACGGGAGGCAGCAGUAGGGAAUCUUCCGCAAUGGGCGAAAGCCUGACGGAGCAACGCCGCGUGAGUGAUGAAGGUCUUCGGAUCGUAAAACUCUGUUAUUAGGGAAGAACAAAUGUGUAAGUAACUAUGCACGUCUUGACGGUACCUAAUCAGAAAGCCACGGCUAACUACGUG